CCUACGGGAGGCAGCAGUGAGGAAUAUUGGUCAAUGGACGAGAGUCUGAACCAGCCAAGUAGCGUGAAGGAUGACUGCCCUAUGGGUUGUAACCUUCUUUUAUAAAGGAAUAAAACGAGGCACGUGUGCCUUUUUGCAUGUACUUUAUGAAUAAGGAUCGCCUAACUCCGUGCCAGCAGCCGCGGUAAUACGGAGGAUCCGAGCGUUAUCCGGAUUUAUUGGGUUUAAAGGGAGCGUAGAUGGGUUGUUAAGUCAGUUGUGAAAGUUUGCGGCUCAACCGUAAAAUUGCAAUUGAUACUGGCAGUCUUGAGUACAGUUGAGGUAGGCGGAAUUCGUGGUGUAGCGGUGAAAUGCUUAGAUAUCACGAAGAACCCCGAUUGCGAAGGCAGCUUACUAAACUGUGACUGACACUGAUGCUCGAAAGUGUGGGUAUCAAACAGGAUUAGAUACCCGUGUAGUC
RNAcentral lists this ribosomal RNA (460 nucleotides) under uncultured bacterium. RNAcentral's name for it is "partial 16S ribosomal RNA". It matches the Rfam family "Bacterial small subunit ribosomal RNA", at positions 338 to 795 of the family's 1533-position model. The record is from RNAcentral.